RNAcentral lists this ribosomal RNA (492 nucleotides) under uncultured bacterium. RNAcentral describes it as "partial 16S ribosomal RNA". It matches the Rfam family "Bacterial small subunit ribosomal RNA", at positions 29 to 507 of the family's 1533-position model. The record is from RNAcentral.
AGUGAACGCUGGCGGUAUGCCUAACACAUGCAAGUCGAACGGCAGCACAGUAAGAGCUUGCUCUUACGGGUGGCGAGUGGCGGACGGGUGAGGAAUACAUCGGAAUCUACUUUUUCGUGGGGGAUAACGUAGGGAAACUUACGCUAAUACCGCAUACGACCUACGGGUGAAAGCAGGGGAUCUUCGGACCUUGCGCGAUUGAAUGAGCCGAUGUCGGAUUAGCUAGUUGGCGGGGUAAAGGCCCACCAAGGCGACGAUCCGUAGCUGGUCUGAGAGGAUGAUCAGCCACACUGGAACUGAGACACGGUCCAGACUCCUACGGGAGGCAGCAGUGGGGAAUAUUGGACAAUGGGCGCAAGCCUGACCCAGCCAUACCGCGUGGGUGAAGAAGGCCUUCGGGUUGUAAAGCCCUUUUGUUGGGAAAGAACAGCAGCAGGUUAAUACCCCGCUGUUCUGACGGUACCCAAAGAAUAAGCACCGGCUAACUUCGUG